AGAGCUCACCCUCUCUGAAGGAGAGCAGGUGCCUCCUGAGAGCAGGGCUUCUCUACCUUGGGGCACUAUGAACAUUCUGAGUGGGGUAAGUGUUUACUGUGGGAGGCCCUAUUCAUGGCAGGAGGUUUAGCAAUCUCCCUGGCCUCUAGCCACUAGAUGACAAUAGCACCCCUGCCACACCCACUGUGUAACAACCAAAAAUGUCUCCAGACAUUGCCAAAUGCCCCCUGGGUCGGGGACGAGAGGGCAAAAGCAGCCCCAGUUGGGAGCCACUGCUUUAGAGAAUGGAGCUUGGAGCUGAUUUCUGGGACAAAUCCCAUGGGAUAGCCAGGACGUGCACCUGGGUAAGGCUGGAGGAGGGUAUGAAAAAGGGGAGGGCUUAGGCCCUGACCAGAAAGCAUCCCAGUACCGGGUAGAGAUGAGGACCCCAAGUAGUGCUAAGUGGCAGCACUGCAGAUGCAGAGGGUUGGAGCAUGGCUUCAUGGGAGGUGGUGUUCCUGGAGGAGGUGAGAAGUAGGCUGGCCUCAGGCAAGGAGGUGGAGGGGAUACUCCAGGUGUUGGAAACAGCCUGAGCAAGGGCCCUGGGGUAUGAAGUGAGCGUGAGACCGUAUGAAGAUCAGACACAGGCUGGGAUCUGUCAGGGCAGGAAAUGGAAAUAAUAUUAAUAGCAAUAAACUGUGACCUUGAUUUUUGAGUAAUGGCCAUGUGCCACAUUCUGUUCUGAGCAGGUUACUCGUGUCAUUUCAUUUAGUCCUCAAAAAUCUCUACAAGGUAGAUUUGAUUAUUAUUCUCAUCUUGCAAGUGAGGAAACCACGGCCUCCAGAUGUUUCGGGGUUCACCAGUGCACACAGCCUAUAAAGGCAGGUUCACACUUCAAAGCCAGGCUAUUGACCUGGCUUCACUCCUUGCCCUCAGAGCCACACCCCUCUGGGUGGGCUUGGGAGGGUGAACACAGCAGCCUUCUCCUAAUUCCCUGAAGGUGGGAUCAGGGCUAAUCCAUCAAGCGAAUGAAUGAACACAUGAAUAAGUGAAUGCAUGAAUAGAGAAAGACUCUGGUCUGCUGUGUGUCCUGCUCCUCAGGCAGAAAUCACCUUCCCACCCUACUCCUGGCCCCACCCAGCACCCCCAGCUCUCUCCCUAGGUACUCUUUCACUUUGGAAACAUUCACAGGGCUUGGAGCAUGCUCUGGCAUGAGAGCCCCACGAAAUGCGGGUUUUCUUUGAUCCCCUAGCUGGGUCAUGUAGAAAGAAGAGAAAGAGAGAAAGAUCUAGACAC
Molecule: long non-coding RNA, 1275 nt
Filed under: Homo sapiens (human)
Lineage: Eukaryota; Metazoa; Chordata; Mammalia; Primates; Hominidae
Description: non-protein coding lnc-CYLD-2:8
Source: RNAcentral